This 22-nucleotide microRNA is filed under the name Sus scrofa (pig). RNAcentral describes it as "ssc-miR-494". Its record names the gene ssc-miR-494. Lineage: Eukaryota; Metazoa; Chordata; Mammalia; Artiodactyla; Suidae. The record is from miRBase by way of RNAcentral.
AGGUUGUCGUGUUGUCUUCUCU